ACCAAACCAAUUUGAUAUUGAUCUCCUUUGGUCUAAUGAUUAGAGAAGGUGUUCCUCAAGUCACUCACAACCACAUAAAGUCAUAUGACCUCUACAAAAAAUCCAUGUGAAGACUGGUGCAGAUCAGGGGCUUGGAGGUGCUAGUCUGCAAGCAACUUCGAUGAUUGAUCUCUUUCUUUUUCUUCAAGCACCUUAGACACUCUAAAGGAUGAAGAUAUCUGGAGGAA
RNAcentral lists this long non-coding RNA (227 nucleotides) under Elaeis guineensis (African oil palm). Its description in RNAcentral is "long non-coding RNA (EGUI_LNC050642)". Lineage: Eukaryota; Viridiplantae; Streptophyta; Magnoliopsida; Arecales; Arecaceae. The record is from RNAcentral.